GAAGAUAUAGCUCAGUGGUAGAGUGCACGCUUAGCAUUCAUGAGGUCCUGGGCUCAAUCCCCAGUACCUCUC
RNAcentral lists this transfer RNA (72 nucleotides) under Camelus ferus (Wild Bactrian camel). It matches the Rfam family "tRNA". Rfam says of the family: Transfer RNA (tRNA) molecules are approximately 80 nucleotides in length. Lineage: Eukaryota; Metazoa; Chordata; Mammalia; Artiodactyla; Camelidae. The record is from Rfam by way of RNAcentral.